Molecule: ribosomal RNA, 460 nt
Filed under: uncultured bacterium
Lineage: Bacteria
Description: partial 16S ribosomal RNA
Rfam family: Bacterial small subunit ribosomal RNA
Source: RNAcentral
CCUACGGGGGGCAGCAGUGAGGAAUAUUGGUCAAUGGACGCAAGUCUGAACCAGCCAUGCCGCGUGCAGGAAGACGGCGCUAUGAGUUGUAAAAUGCGUUUGUACGAGGGUAAACGCAGAUACGCGUAUCUGUCUGAAAGUAUCGUACGAAUAAGGAUCGGCUAACUCCGUGCCAGCAGCCGCGGUAAGACGGAGGAUUCAUGCGUUAUCCGGAUUUAUUGGGUUUAAAGGGUGCGUAGGCGGUCGGCUAAGUUAGAGGUGAAAUCCCGAGGCUCAACUUCGGAAUUGCCUCUGAUACUGUUCGGCUAGAGCGUAGUUGCGGUAGGCGGACUGUCUUGUGUAGCGGUUACAUGCUUAGAGUUCAUACAGAACCCCGAUUGCGAAGGCAGCUUACCAAGCUACUUCUGACGUUGAGGCACGAAAGCGUGGGGAGCAAACAGGAUUAGAUACCCGAGUAGUC